GCCGGCAUAGCUCAGUUGGUAGAGCAACUGAUUUGUAAUCAGUAGGUCGCGGGUUCGAUUCCUGCUGCCGGCA
Non-coding RNA from Rhodanobacter sp. C06, 73 nucleotides. NCBI's taxonomy places the organism in Bacteria, Pseudomonadati, Pseudomonadota, Gammaproteobacteria, Lysobacterales, Rhodanobacteraceae. The record is from Rfam.